Molecule: ribosomal RNA, 482 nt
Filed under: uncultured bacterium
Lineage: Bacteria
Description: partial 16S ribosomal RNA
Rfam family: Bacterial small subunit ribosomal RNA
Source: RNAcentral
ACUCAAAUGAAUAGACGGGGACUCGCACAAGCGGUGGAUCAUGUGGCUUAAUUCGUAGCUAAGCGAAGAACCUUACCCGGGUUAGAAAUCCAGCUGCACGCCUUCCGAAAGGAAGGAAGCUUUCGAAGGUGCUGGACAGGUGAUGCAUGGUUGUCGUCAGUUCGUGGCUUGAGCUGUUCCCUUCAGUGGGGUAACGAACGCAACCCUCGUUGUCUGUUAUUUUUCAGGCGAGACUGCCCCCUCACGGGGGAGGAAGGUGAGGAUGACGCCAAAUCAGCAUGUCCCUCUGAUACCCGGGGCUGCACACGUGAUACAAUGGUCGGUACAGAAGGACGCAAUACCGCAAGGUGGAGCAAAUCCCAAAAACCGACCCCAGUACGGAUCGAGGUCUGCAACCGACCUCGUGAAGCCGGAAUCGCUAGUAAUCGUGGGUCAGCCAUACCACGGUGAAUACGUUCUCGAGUCUUGUACACACCGCCCGU